RNAcentral lists this ribosomal RNA (492 nucleotides) under uncultured bacterium. RNAcentral's name for it is "partial 16S ribosomal RNA". It matches the Rfam family "Bacterial small subunit ribosomal RNA", at positions 29 to 507 of the family's 1533-position model. The record is from RNAcentral.
AGUGAACGCUGGCGGUAGGCCUAACACAUGCAAGCCGAACGGCAGCACAGUAAGAGCUUGCUCUUACGGGUGGCGAGUGGCGGACGGGUGAGGAAUACAUCGGAAUCUACUUUUUCGUGGGGGAUAACGUAGGGAAACUUACGCUAAUACCGCAUACGACCUACGGGUGAAAGCAGGGGAUCUUCGGACCUUGCGCGAUUGAAUGAGCCGAUGUCGGAUUAGCUAGUUGGCGGGGUAAAGGCCCACCAAGGCGACGAUCCGUAGCUGGUCUGAGAGGAUGAUCAGCCACACUGGAACUGAGACACGGUCCAGACUCCUACGGGAGGCAGCAGUGGGGAAUAUUGGACAAUGGGCGCAAGCCUGAUCCAGCCAUACCGCGUGGGUGAAGAAGGUCUUCGGGUUGUAAAGCCCUUUUGUUGGGAAAGAAAAGCAGCAGGUUAAUACCCCGCUGUUCUGACGGUACCCAAAGAAUAAGCACCGGCUAACUUCGUG